CUCCCAUCGCAGGCGGACAUGUGCAACAGCUGGCACAUGGCACCAGGAAUGACACAUGGCUGGCCCAAAGCCAGGUACAGUACAGUAGAGAGACCCGGUCUAGGCUAUAGCGACAGAGUGCGAGGAUUUAAAUCUCUGUUAUGGGCGGCUCGAACGCAGCGCAAACUCCAAUUCCAGAAAGACAGAUUCCACCAUAAAUGCAAGUCACGUGAAAAGUACAAGGGACUGGUAAACAUGAACAAAACAGUCAUUGAAACAUUAGCCAGAGCAGCAGCUGACUUUGAAUAAUAAAUGUUGGUGUUUGAUGAAUGCUGAAAAGUCAAUAAAAGUCUCUGAGACUAACUGGAAUGCCGUCUUAUUUUUAAACCACAAAGUCUUUCAUUUCUCUAUCAACACUCUGUCUUGAUGUACUCCAAGCCUCUUUGUAACAGAAGAUUGCAAGGGCCGGAUAUUGCUUCUAAAGUGUACGCUUUCCCAGAGAAAAUAAGGCUGGAUUACCAGUGCUUAGUGCAAGUGACAAUUCAGAUAUCUUGAAGGGACGAGGGGGUUUGAAUCAAUACAUUAUUACAAUUACAAUUUGAAUCCGAUAACUCCCAAUGCAAGUGAGCCGUAAACGGAUCAAUUAUACAGUAUCUCGUUCAAAUGAGCUUUACGUCAUCCAAAUACACAAGCUGUUGACUUACUCUUUCACAUUUGCGGUGAAUAAAUAUGUUUUUAAAAAAUAAAAAUAAAAAUAAACGAACUACAGCAAAACCAUUGACAAUCCAAUAUGGUUUAAAGGAGAAGUCCCAUCGAGAUUUUCCUUUCCAGUAUAUGCUCUAUGCGCCUCUACUACUCUAAACAUGACACUCUGGUUCAUACUGCCUUUGUGAAAUAUGAAUCAAGCAACAGAAUCCACCCAUUUUUUCGUCCAUUUCAAGGGGCGGCCAUUUUGUCACAUCCUGUCUAUUGAAAACAACAUCACAGUGCCGAAGGGCUCAGGCAACAUGAAAGGGGGCUGCAGUUAUUUAGGAUUCCCCAAAUCCCAGAAUCACAGUGAUCGAUUUUAUACUGAAAUCACGAAAAUUCUAAUUCGAAUCCAAAAAUUCCAUACGCACCAAAAUGUGACAGCAAAGCAAACCAGAAGUGCUUUUUCUGUAAAUAGUAACAAAAAUGUAAAAAGUAAGACACUGUGUGAAAGAGGGCUACCGUUAUGAGGAUGACCACCUUAUAUGCGUGGUAAGAAACGUGUGUAACCGUAACAGGAGCUGCAGUGGACAACAGACUCAUCUGCCAGGUUGUGCUUUGGAGUUUGGACGAGGACUGGGGCGGCGUUCUCACUGACAGCUGUGGCUCCAAGUCUCGUCCUGGCACAAAUGUACCCUCUGAUAACACAUGGCAGGGGUUCGAGCACGCUGCCUAAUGCGCACAUUGAGAGUGCAACAGGUAGCAAAG
Molecule: long non-coding RNA, 1434 nt
Organism: Hippocampus comes (tiger tail seahorse)
Lineage: Eukaryota; Metazoa; Chordata; Actinopteri; Syngnathiformes; Syngnathidae
Exons: 2
Source: RefSeq, a predicted model, not a curated record